Non-coding RNA from Rattus norvegicus (Norway rat), 2439 nucleotides. The record is from RefSeq and is a predicted model, not a curated record. NCBI's taxonomy places the organism in Eukaryota, Metazoa, Chordata, Mammalia, Rodentia, Muridae.
UUGUCGCUGUAAUCUCUCAGGACCCGCUCGAUAGCCCCCGCCUCGCCGGCCCGGACGAUGUAGAGGGCGCGCUCUUCAUCCAUGGCCGCAGGUGCGGGGGAGCCGCAGCCGCUGUGCGCGCCCCAGCCGCUGCCUCCCAGAUGAAUCAGGGAACUCAGCACUCAUCAGAGGCAGGCCUGGGAUUCGAACCAGAGGAGUCAGCGCUGCACCCGGAGACUUUGCAGUGUUACAGUUGGUUGACCUACCUCCUCCUCAUCCCCAUGAACCUACUUCAGUGACGUGUGCCAUUCCUUCACCAGGGACUGCAACGGCUUCACCUUUGCUCUGGGAGGCUGACUACGCAAGCCGACAGUGGGUUUCAGCCUUGCACACUUAGCCGUAAAUCAAAGAACUUGAAUGUGCAUGUCUCUCUCUCUCUCUCUCUCUCUCUCUCUCUCUCUCUCUCUCUCUCUCUCUCUCUCUCUCAAUUGGGCACGUAUUGAGAAUACUCUUGCCAAUCUCUAGGCAGAGGUUUUGGGUCACUGGCAUGGGCUGGGCUGGGAGUUGGAGAACUGUGCUCCCGUCUUCUUUGCUGGCUUGGGUCACACAGCUUUCUGUGGCUGCAGCUUCAUCUUUAAGAACUUGGGGAAAAAAGGCCGUCUUCCUGAGGUUGUUAUGGGAACAAAUGGGCCCAUCUAUUUCAAAUUGCCUAAGGUGCAAGUUCCUUCAAUCUUAAUGGGAAAAUGAAACAAAGGAAGCUUUGUCUUCAGACAGGACCUUCUCUAGACGAGGGACAUUUUCAAUACCGACCUCACCCAAUAUGGGCACUGAUAUGACACAAUUAAAUUUACCACACUUUACAAAUAGAGACUAAUGAAACCAUGAACCACAAGGUGUGUGUGUGUGCGCGCACGUGUGUGUGUGCGUGUGAGUGUGUGUAUGUGUGCGUGUGAGUGUGUGUAUGUGUGCGUGUGAGUGUGUGUAUGUGUGUGAGCAUGUGUGUAUGUGUGUGAGUGUGUAUGUGUGUGAGUGUGCAUGUGUAUGUGUGUGUGUGAGUGUAUGUGUGUGAGUGUGUGAGUGUGUGUUUGUCAGUGUGCGCGUGUACACGUGUGCUGCAGAUGGUAGGCUGUCAAAUGCCCUUGUCUGAGAGCCACAAGGCAAGAUGGAGGAGAAGCUGUCUUGGGCCUCAUCUAGAUAGACACGGCUUCCUAGCUCUGCAGAGACUUGAUGUGCCAGGGUUGGGGGAUACCCAGGAGGGCCUCAGAGGAGAAAAGAAGGGGAGAUAAGGGGAGGAACUGUGUGAGGGGAGGCCAGGAGGAGGGGGGAACAGCAAUCAGGAUGUAAAAUGAGUGAAUAAGACCAACUUCUAUAAGACCAGCUAUUGAAUGAUAAAGACUCCAGUUGGGUACCGUUGUGGCUUCCAAAGCGGACACAGCAGACUUAUCUUUAAUCAACAGGGUCGCUGUGGGCUUUGAGGGUAACUUGGCUUCUUUUUAUGGUAAGGGUUUUAAAAAUAUCACCUCCCAAAAGGAGCUCCUGAAUUUCCUGGGGAAUGAAGCAGUAGAGGAGGGAGGACAAGACCAAGCAGUGGCGUGGAGAUGCAGUCUCCAGCGGGCGCACAUGCUCCCAGUGCAUGGACUCUGCCCACUCCCUACUGUGUAGUCCUGGACGCUGCAGCUACGCUUGCACGAAGCAGGCGCUCAGCGACCGCGUGAGGAAGGAAGGAGUGAGCGAGUGAAUGAAUGAAUGAGUGCCUAGACUGUGCUGAGUGUGACCCAGGCAGCAACUCUGUCACUCAGGGGAGUCAGAGCGAGAAGCACAGACUCUGCUCCCAGGAGAGGGGGCACCUGAGGAGCUGGCAUCUCUGUGACGCAGGCAAGAGUACGCUAAUGAAUGCCCCAGGUGAUGACUUAGAAGAAUCAACUUCUUGGCUUGUCUUGGGAUUAAACCAGGGCUCCUCUUGGAAAUCAAAACAGAGGGCUGUUUACCCUGAGUGCCUUCGAAGUGUGGAUACAUUCUCUUUAGUACCUCCCUUGGCAAAUCUGGUGGCUGAUGCAAUGUAGCCUCCAUACAGCCUCCCUCCUGCCCUUGUCCUCUGAGGCCCCAGACUCCCUUUGUGCUUGUUCUAUGGGGGUCCUGAGAGCUCUCUUAGACACAAAACCCACCUGUGGCUUCUCAACCUUCAGAGUAGGCAAAGUAGGCUUAGCCUCCCCCAACCUUUGGUCCAGCCUACAGCUACUUCCUUCCCCACCCCCAAGAAUUCACAGCAAGAGCCACAUCUGAGAGACAGUGGUGCUCAGGAGCCCCAAAGUAGUCACACUUCCUGGGUUCUAAUCCCCAUGUAAGUUACCCUGUGUCUCGUUUCCUCUUCUCCUGAGGUUCUCCAGAGUAUGCAAAGUGCUUUGUACAGAACCUGGUGUGCUGCAGCAUUUGGAAGAAAUAAAUUGACCUUUUGGAUGG